Molecule: long non-coding RNA, 3396 nt
Filed under: Nicotiana tabacum (common tobacco)
Lineage: Eukaryota; Viridiplantae; Streptophyta; Magnoliopsida; Solanales; Solanaceae
Description: long non-coding RNA (NTAB_LNC002102)
Source: RNAcentral
GGAAGACAAAAUCUGAUAAUUAAUCUUAAUACAAACUGUGGAAGUCUAAAUACAACUCUACCAAGAAUUUCGUAUCACAGCUUCACAGACGGUCUAAGAAUACUACAUACAAAGUCUAAAAGAUAAAUUACACAUUGUUUCUGAAAUGAGUAUAGGAAACAGGAUAAUGGAAAGAUAGGAGGUGACGCCAAGGCCCACGGAUGGUUGCAUGACUACCUUGGGUCGCCUAACCUCACUGCGAUCCGAAGUCUACAACACUGGGAUCUGCACAAAAAAGUGCAGAGUGUAGUAUCAGCACAACCAACCCCAUGUGCUGGUAAAUGUCUAGCCUAAUCUCGGCGAAGUAGUGACGAGGCUAGGACCAGACUACCAAAUAAACCUGUGCAGUUAUAUCAUAAACAACGAAAAUAGACAUAGAUAAUUACAAUUAAAAUUGGGCAGGGGAAACAUGCUUCGAGGAAUAACAGAUAACAACAGAAUAUCAAUAGAAUAUAAUGAAACCAAAAUCCAAUUACUAACAAGAAUAAGGAAAACAAAUGCAGAAUUCACUUUCAUUUCACAUCUUGUUGCAGGCGUGCAACUCGAUCCCAUUUCAUAUAUCUCGUUGCAGGCAUGCAACCAGAUCUCAUUUCAUAUAUCUCGUUGUAGGUGUACAACCCGCUCCUAUUUCAUAUAUUUUGUUGCAGGCGUGCAACCCACUCCCAUUUCACAUAUCUCGUUGCAGGCGUGCAACCUGCUCCCAUUUCAUAUAUCUCGUUGCAGGCGUGCAACCAGCUCCCAUAUCAUAUAUUUCCGUGGCGGCGUGCUACCCGAUCCCUGUCACACCCCUUUUUUUACCAAACCUCGCUAAACCCUCUUAAAAUAGUAAAAGAUUUAGUAAAAGCUUGAAAACGGUUUUCAAUUUGAAAAGUGACAAAAUUGUGUGUUCAAAAGGAUUAACUCAGAGUCGCCACCUGACAUUUGAUUUCGGCGUAUUAGCUCAUCGUUUUUCCAAAAGUAAUACUUUUCCUUUCAAAAAACUUUGAACUCUAAAACUAAGUCUACACCAGAGAUUUGGGUAAGGGGGUUCAUUUGACUCGGGGAGAAGGUGUUAGGCAUUCCCCGAGUCCCGUGAAGGUCACGGUUGCGUACUCGAUCUAGUUGGCUUUUAAAAUAUUCAAGUUGAGGUAAAUCACAGAAAAGAAAAAUAAACACAAAAGAGGCUCGAGGUCAUCCCCACCUAAAUGAUAGAAAAUUAAAAGAAGAAAAAAAACUAAAGUUCUAAAUUAUCCUAUGCUAUUUCUUCUACGAUGUUCGCCAUGACCUCCAAUUACAUAGUACUACGGGGAAUUCCCGGAAUAAAGUAUAUACAAAUCCUUCAGGGCAUUCCACGAAUAAAUUUAACUAAAGGAACGACCUCUCACCUCAGAACCAACAAAAAUCUUAAGGCUUGCCUACCCAAAUGUUGUCGGCCUAAGCAUGCUCCUAGCGGAAGAUGUAAUAAAAGUAAUAAAAUAAAACUAAAAGAAAUAGAAAUGAAUUUAAUUCUCAUUCCCUUUUGAGUUUAUUCUUUCAUGCAUUUGUCCGGCCAACUCAACUUCCCGCAGCCCGUGCGUGAACCAAAUAUUCAUCCAAUCAACCAAAACAAGCACAUACAAAUAGACGUCUAAGGCAGUAAGUAUUUAGCAUUGAAAAAAGUAAUAAAAAUAGUAAAAGCCUAUCCCAAUAAAAAGUUCCAAUACAUACAGAAAGAAGAGGACAAUGUGAGUUAAGUCCUAUACGACAGUUUAGGAAUUAAUAUGCCAUUUUCCUCGAUACUGUCACUACAUGAACUUUCAAAAACCAUUUAAGCUAAUUUGAACAAUUCUAGGAGUGAACAUGGAUGAAAUGUAAUGCAAAUAAUGACCAGGCUUCUGCCAAAUACUUAAACUAUUCUAAGAGGACAAAAGUAAACCCAGAACACAACUAGCUUAGACAACGUUCAGAAAACAUGUUUCACUAUAUAUCAGCACAGAGAACGGGUCUACAAACAAGAACAAGCAACUCAUCUCGUGAGAAAAUUAAUUUUUGAUUUUUUUCUUUGGCUUCAAGGAUCGAUUAUGUCCCAAACAGUCUGAGAUGACAAGAUAAUCCAGUGACUCACUUAACAUAUGAGGGGAAUAGCAUUUAGAGACAGCAGACAAAACAAAGAGUUGCACUUUCAGAUCAUUAUCCAGGAAAGAUAAGAGUUAUCAAUUCAAUCCCAAGGUAAAAGGAAAUCAAGUUGGUUUAAGUUCAAAGGCGAAUCCGCUAACUUCAACAAAACAUUAAUUAUUUAGUCAUGAAUUCAAACUGAGCUAAUCGAGAUUAGUAACAUCGAAGCAUAGGCGAACAAAACCAACCAUCAACUGGCCGACCAGACAAAUCAGCUGGAAUUUAAGCAAGAAGGCCAAUUGAAUACACUGCCCAUUUAUGUAAAACUCGACGCAAUCGAGUACCAAAUCAGCGAUUACAAAGUUAAGUCAUAUUGCAGUCCAAUGUGUCCAAACUAAACAGGUCCGAAACCAGAAACAUCUAAACACAUAAGUAAAGGAGAACACAAGUAACAAAAUGGGAUCAAAUCUAACUAAAAUCAAACGUGACACGGGAGACAGAAAUGAACCUGGAUAUUCAGAAUUUCAAUUAAUUUCAGAAGCGAGGACAAGAAAAGUUCAGCGACGAGGAACUGAAGUGAAUCGCAAACAAGAACAAUAACUUCGAAUAAGAACCCGAACGACAAAUGAACUUCAACUCCGACGAGCUUCAACCAACCUCAAUAAAGGUCCAUAUUUGAAGCGAAAUCCAAAAAAUGAAUUAAGAUUUUUAAUAUGUUUCUGAUUUUGCGAAUUGAAACAAAACUCAGAAUAAAAAUCAAACUUAAACUUCUUUUUUUCUUUUCCGUUUUUCUGGAAUGUAAAGCAAACACUAAAAAAAUCUCAAGACUCAAAGAACCCUAGACCUUUUUUCCGCCUUUUUUCUUUUUUUCCUCCUCUUCAAGACUGUCCGAAAACUUCCAAAUAUAUAUCCCCUCCCGAAUCUUCUUCUCCUCUUCUCCAAGAAAACCGAUUUUUUAUUUCCGAAAUCUGAAAAAUCCCCUAAAAAUCCCAAAGCCUUUUUCGUGUAAACGGGUUUUAGGAAAAUGGACACUUAGGAUCCAAAGAUCUCGAUCUUAUGACUCCCAUUUAACUAUCAUCCAUUUAUGAAUGGCUCAGAUUCUUCAAAGAAAUUGAGAAGAGCGCGUGAGAUGAGAAGAAAAUAUCAGAUGCUAAUGAUGAGGGGGGACCAUGUGAGUUAACUCAUCGGGUUUGGACGAGUUCCGGCGAGUUUGGGGUGGUAGGCGCGCGGGCAGAGGUGUGUUGGAGAGGGUCAGGCGCCAUUUGGUUGAAGUGAUUUAGGGUU